Molecule: ribosomal RNA, 408 nt
Filed under: uncultured bacterium
Lineage: Bacteria
Description: partial 16S ribosomal RNA
Rfam family: Bacterial small subunit ribosomal RNA
Source: RNAcentral
UGGGGAAUUUUGGACAAUGGGCGAAAGCCUGAUCCAGCAAUGCCGCGUGUGUGAAGAAGGCCUUCGGGUUGUAAAGCACUUUUGUCCGGAAAGAAAUCCUUGGCUCUAAUACAGUCGGGGGAUGACGGUACCGGAAGAAUAAGCACCGGCUAACUACGUGCCAGCAGCCGCGGUAAUACGUAGGGUGCAAGCGUUAAUCGGAAUUACUGGGCGUAAAGCGUGCGCAGGCGGUUUGCUAAGACCGAUGUGAGAUCCCCGGGCUCAACCUGGGAACUGCAUUGGUGACUGGCAGGCUAGAGUAUGGCAGAGGGGGGUAGAAUUCCACGUGUAGCAGUGAAAUGCGUAGAGAUGUGGAGGAAUACCGAUGGCGAAGGCAGCCCCCUGGGCCAAUACUGACGCUCAUGCACG